UGGGGAAUAUUGGACAAUGGGCGCAAACCUGAUCCAGCCAUGCCGCGUGUGUGAAGAAGGCCUUAUGGUUGUAAAGCACUUUAAGCGAGGAGGAGGCUACUUUAGUUAAUACCUAGAGAUAGUGGACGUUACUCGCAGAAUAAGCACCGGCUAACUCUGUGCCAGCAGCCGCGGUAAUACAGAGGGUGCAAGCGUUAAUCGGAUUUACUGGGCGUAAAGCGCGCGUAGGCGGCUAAUUAAGUCAAAUGUGAAAUCCCGAGCUUAACUUGGGAAUUGCAUUCGAUACUGGUUAGCUAGAGUGUGGGAGAGGAUGGUAGAAUUCCAGGUGUAGCGGUGAAAUGCGUAGAGAUCUGGAGGAAUACCGAUGGCGAAGGCAGCCAUCUGGCCUAACACUGACGCUGAGGUGCGAAAGCAUGGGGAGCAAACAGGAUUAGAUACCCUGGUAGUCCAUGCCGUAAACGAUGUCUACUAGCCGUUGGGGCCUUUGAGGCUUUAGUGGCGCAGCUAACGCGAUAAGUAGACCGCCUGGGGAGUAUGGUCGCAAGACUAAAACUGCAAAUGAAUUGACGGGGUCAUAGCUGUUUCCU
Molecule: ribosomal RNA, 587 nt
Filed under: uncultured bacterium
Lineage: Bacteria
Description: partial 16S ribosomal RNA
Rfam family: Bacterial small subunit ribosomal RNA
Source: RNAcentral